GAGGAAGUGACUAGAGCAAAGCAAGACAAAAGGAAAUUUGGCUCAACAGGAUGUGAAAAUAGAGAAGAAACUUUUCCAAGAUCAUAAGUGGUGGAGAGAAGUUUUCCAAGGAGAAAACCUGGGCUAAGUAUUAAAAACAACAACAAUAAAAUCAGACAGAACUGAAAGAGAAGAAGAA
Homo sapiens (human) is the source of this 178-nucleotide long non-coding RNA. Ensembl annotates it as long intergenic non-protein coding RNA 2695. Lineage: Eukaryota; Metazoa; Chordata; Mammalia; Primates; Hominidae. The record is from Ensembl.